UACAGAGGCCUCGAGCGUUAGGCGGAAUCACUGGGCUUAAAGCGUGUGUAGGUGGAUGCCUAAGUGCCUUGUGAAAUCCCAUGGCUUAACCAUGGAAUUGCUUGGCAUACUGGGUGUCUUGAACCACUCAGGGGCUACUGGAACAAACGGUGGAGCGGUGAAAUGCGUAGAUAUCGUUUGGAACGCCAAUGGUGAAAACAGGUAGCUGGGGGUGUGCUGACACUGAGACACGAAAGCCAGGGGAGCAAACGGG
Molecule: ribosomal RNA, 253 nt
Filed under: uncultured bacterium
Lineage: Bacteria
Description: partial 16S ribosomal RNA
Rfam family: Bacterial small subunit ribosomal RNA
Source: RNAcentral